AUUGAACGCUGGCGGAAUGCUUUACACAUGCAAGUCGAACGGCAGCACGGACUUCGGUCUGGUGGCGAGUGGCGAACGGGUGAGUAAUGUAUCGGAACGUGCCCAGUCGUGGGGGAUAACGUAGUGAAAAUUACGCUAAUACCGCAUACGAUCUAUGGAUGAAAGCGGGGGAUCGCAAGACCUCGCGCGAUUGGAGCGGCCGAUAUCAGAUUAGGGAGUUGGUGGGGUAAAGGCCCACCAAGCCAACGAUCUGUAGCUGGUCUGAGAGGACGACCAGCCACACUGGAACUGAGACACGGUCCAGACUCCUACGGGAGGCAGCAGUGGGGAAUUUUGGACAAUGGGCGAAAGCCUGAUCCAGCUAUUCCGCGUGCAGGAUGAAGGCCCUCGGGUUGUAAACUGCUUUUGUACAGAACGAAAAGGUUUCUACUAAUACUAGGAGCUCAUGACGGUACUGUAAGAAUAAGCACCGGCUAACUACGUGCCAGCAGCCGCCGUAA
RNAcentral lists this ribosomal RNA (500 nucleotides) under uncultured bacterium. RNAcentral's name for it is "partial 16S ribosomal RNA". It matches the Rfam family "Bacterial small subunit ribosomal RNA", at positions 30 to 523 of the family's 1533-position model. The record is from RNAcentral.